RNAcentral lists this ribosomal RNA (547 nucleotides) under Dialister sp. oral clone 19-71. Its description in RNAcentral is "bacterial SSU rRNA". It matches the Rfam family "Bacterial small subunit ribosomal RNA", at positions 8 to 521 of the family's 1533-position model. The record is from RNAcentral. Lineage: Bacteria; Bacillati; Bacillota; Negativicutes; Veillonellales; Veillonellaceae.
AGAGUUUGAUCAUGGCUCAGGACGAACGCUGGCGGCGUGCUUAACACAUGCAUGUCGAACGAAAAGAGGGAAAGAGCUUGCUCUUUCCGGAAUUGAGAGGCAAACGGGUGAGUAACACGUAAACAACCUGCCUUCAGGAUGGGGACAACAGACGGAAACGACUGCUAAUACCGAAUACGUUCUAAGCAUCGCAUGAUGCAUAGAAGAAAGGGUGGCCUCUACAAGAAAGCUAUCGCCUUAAGAGGGGUUUGCGACUGAUUAGGUAGUUGGUGAGGUAACGGCUCACCAAGCCGACGAUCAGUAGCCGGUCUGAGAGGAUGAACGGCCACACUGGAACUGAGACACGGUCCAGACUCCUACGGGAGGCAGCAGUGGGGAAUCUUCCGCAAUGGACGAAAGUCUGACGGAGCAACGCCGCGUGAACGAAGAAGGUCUUCGGAUUGUAAAGUUCUGUGAUUCGGGACGAAAGGGUUUGUGGUGAAUAAUCAUAGACAUUGACGGUACCGAAAAAGCAAGCCACGGCUAACUACGUGCCAGCAGCCGCGGU